Molecule: long non-coding RNA, 3520 nt
Organism: Meriones unguiculatus (Mongolian gerbil)
Lineage: Eukaryota; Metazoa; Chordata; Mammalia; Rodentia; Muridae
Exons: 3
Source: RefSeq, a predicted model, not a curated record
UCCUCACCCCAAGCCCUCUCGUCUUACCUAGACCCGGCAGAAAAAGGAAUAAAAGCUAGAGGUGGCCUCUUCUGCGGGUUUUCUGGGUCAAAGCGGAAGGGGUCAUAGACCUGCAAGCCAAGCAAGACGAAACUGGUCCUAGAGAUGAAGGGAGGAGCCUCACCUCAGGGUCCGGCCAGACUGAAGGAUUGUGAUGAACUCCGAAGAUGCUGAUGACACAUGUGCUGCCUUUUGGGGAGGAGUGGACAGUAAGUACCGAUCCGUGCUACCUCUAAGGACCACCAUCCUACCCAGGGGCCUCCUCCCAUCGUGUGUGGGCACCUUUGGGGAUGACUCGGCCAUCAGGCAGCACAAUGUCCUUAGUGCAGCGGCGGACCAGGUCUGUCGCAGGAGGAUGCAGCCGCAGACUCUCCUUGAUGCACAUGGUCAGGAAGGGCAGCCGGGCCAGGUCGUCCCUGAGGAGCACACCGCACGAUUAUCCAGGAGCAAAACCCAUCACCUUCUUCAGGCUUUUGAAAAAAUUGCACUCCAGAUAAAUUAAAGUCUCAAGCAAUGGAACUCCUGAUCCUUGGGAUGCCUCUGAUCUCUAAGGCCCUUGCCCAUGCACAGAGACUUCCGAAAGCACUGGAGGCUGUUGUUUAUGGGAGACAGCAAGACCCAACUACAAGGAUGUGCUUGAUCACAUGGAGGCAGGAGGUACUAGGCAGGAUAGAUGUUUGCCCCUCAUAGGACCUGAUGGGGAAUGUGAAUUGAGGGCUUUGCCUUUUAAACACCUGCAAACUGCGACUCAGGACCAUUUUGUGGAAACCCAAAGAUGGACAUAGCCACAGUCCACCAACCUGGCCAGUAUUUAGUUAAAGCUUGCUUCAGUUUUUGCUUUAACUUGUGGUAAUGGUCUCAUUCUCAGCCUGUAGGAUUAACCCCUCUAUCUUCCAAUUUCUGAAGUUUCAGAGAUCAGCCACCAAGAAUGGCUCUAGAUUGAAACUUAAGCCUUAAAAAUGAAAAUCACAAAAUUACCAGAAGAAAGCUUAACUUGGCAUUAGACAUAUUUAAAAGGAAACCACACCUCUCAAAAGAUCUCUUUAAAUGCUUCCAUACAUUCAAAAUGAAAAAGCUUUAAAAACUUAGUGACCUGAGUGAGGAGGCGUUCAGGCCUCAUGAGUGUAGGCAGGAGGAUCAGGAGUUAAGGCCACCUUAGGCUACAAGAAAUGCUGUGUCCUGGGCUGGUGAAACAGCUCAGAUGGUAAAGGGACCUACCAUCAAGCUUGAUUACAUGAAUUCAAUCCCCAGGACACAUAUGGUGGAAAAAAGAGAACUGACUGCAGCCUACUUGGUUCACACACACACACUGAACUUAAUUUAAAUUUGUAAAAGAAAAAAAAUCCAUGAAGUAUUCUGUGGUGGUUUGAAUGAGAAUGGCCCCCAUAGGUUCAUAUCUUUGUAUGCUUAGUCCCCAGUUGGUGAACUCUUUGGGAAGCAGUAGGAGACGUGGCCUUGGAGGGGGUGUGUCACUGGGGUGGGCUCUGAGGUUUCAAAAGUCCACAUCAAGCCCACUUUCAGUCUCUACGUCUCUCCAUCUGUUUGUCUCUCUCUCUGCCUGCCACCUAUAGAUCAGGAUGUAGCUCUCAGCUACUGCUCCAGCACCAUACCUGCCUGCCAACAUGCUUCCCACCAUAAUGACGGACUCACCCUCUGAGGCUGAACAUGACAGUCUUUCUUUCUCAGCGCUGGGCAUCACAGAGCCUGCACACUAGGCAAGUACCCACAACUGAAUUGUCUGUACCCAAGAACCUUAUUCUAAUUGAAAGAGUUAAAGUUUACAAAGAUAAGUCAACCUAAAAAUAAAAGAGGGAGCCAGGCAUGGUGGUGCAUACUUGGAAUCCCAGCACUCUGGAGCCGGAGGCAGGUGGAUUUCUGAACUGGAGAACAGUCUGUUCUACAUAAGUUGCAAGCCAGUUAGGGCUACACAGUGUGAUUCUGUCUCAAAAAAAAAAAAAAAAAAAAAAGUUUUUUAAAGAAAAGAAAGAGCCCACCUAUCAUUUACUAAAACCUAUUGCAAAACUAUAGUAGUAAAAAUGAAAACAACUUUUUAAAACCGUUACUGCAUGACAGGAACAUGAAAAGUGGCAUGUGGAAUCCAAGGGAGGAGGCACGCGACUAUCUGAAAACACGGUGCAUGCUGGAGACAGUCCUCACGCUGCUGGGACGUGCGUAGAUGGGUUAGAGGAGGGCUUCAGAAAACAAUAAGCAAACAAAAAGUGCUAAAUUAAGCAGGUGUGGAAUCGCAGCUCUGAGGAGGGGGAGGCAGGAGGAUUUGAAAGUCAAGGCUAGUCUCAGCUACACCGCAAGUUGGGAACCACCACAACAGUGACAAGCUGUCUAAAAAAAAAGGAAAAACAAAAAUGCUUGUUUCAUCCACCUAUAGGGCAGAUUCCUCCCUACAUCUAAAACACUAAACCUUCAAAGUUAAUCAGCAUAUCUGUCACUUCAGAGAUUUGUCAUUUCCUUAGGGUGAGAAUAUUCAGAAUCUUUGGUUACUUUAAACCGGUGAUGCUGCUCUGAGCAGUGCAGAACAAAACUCUGCAACUCUAACAAUUUCCCAAGUCUCCACUGGACCAAUCCAUUCCCAGAUACGUGACAGUGAAAGCAACAUUUUUAUGACCUAGCGCUAUGAAUGUUUCAAAGUCUAAGAGCAGAAAAUGUAAGAACAAAUAAUGAAGGGAUAAAUGUACACAAAAAGUAAUUUCUGUAUAUUAAGAGGUCAUGGACCAAAUUAGAAUUCACGUGAGAGUCAGUGAUAUCUACAAUUGUGGUAUGUGUGUGAAUGUGUGUGUGUGAUUAUGUAUACACACACACACAUACUUCAAAGAAUUGUUACAAAUCACCAAGCAAAUUACAUGUGACCCAAAGGUUAUAUUCUAGGAUUUCAAUGAGGUCAAACACAAAAAGUUAAAAGAAGAGAUGUCAAUGAACGUAAAUCAAAGGCAAGGGGUGGAAGGGCGAAAAGAGGUCACAGGGAUGAUGAUGGAGAUGGGGAUGAGAAUCAAGAAAGAGAAAUUAGGCUUGAAAGGUCAUGAUGACACCUAACGCACUGGAUGCUAAUUGACUACAUGGAUACACGUCCAAACUGGGUCUAUAAACCCUGGAUGCUGAAGCAUUAAGAUACUGACUUCCAGGCCAGCCUGUGCUACAUAUAUAAACUCUGUAUCAAAAAAAAAUAAUAAUCAAAAGUAAGCUGGGUGCUGUGGCACUCGCCUGUCAUCCCAGGACUUGGGUAGGCAGAGGCAUGCGGAUUCUGUGAAUUCACGGCCAGCCUGCUCUACAAAGGGAGUCUGGGACAGCCAGGGCUACAAAAAGAAACCCUGUCUCAAAAAGAAAGAAAGAAAGGAAGGAAGGAAGGAAAGAAAGAAAGAAAAAAGAAAGAAAGAAAGAAAGAAAGGAAAAUUGAAAUUAGCAACCCCACAAGUGGCUCACAGCUAUAACAGCAGCAGAAAUCACAAGGUACCAUGCUUACCAUUCA